Molecule: long non-coding RNA, 878 nt
Organism: Hibiscus syriacus
Lineage: Eukaryota; Viridiplantae; Streptophyta; Magnoliopsida; Malvales; Malvaceae
Exons: 4
Source: RefSeq, a predicted model, not a curated record
GUGUUUGAAAGGCAUUUUACUGUUUCCUUAUUAGUUUGGUUGAAUUUUCUCUCUCAUUUUAGUUUUUUUUUAAUUUCCUUUUCUCUGUGUGUUUCAAUCAGGGUUCAAAAAAGAAGAAGCAAUUAGCUUUCGUAUUGCUAAAGCAAACGAAGUCAACCAACAAGAGAAGGAACUGGAAGCUGGGAUUCUAGAGCUUGAAAAACAAAAAGAUGAACUUGAAGCUGAACUUAGAAAGGUCAAUGCAUCACUUGUGGCUGCUCGUGUAUGCCUCCGCAAUGCCAGGGAAGAGCGAGAGCAAUUUGAUGAUGCCAGUAACCAGAUUCUAUCACAACUGUCAUCAAAGGAAGAGGAAAUUUUAAAAUCGAUUGCUUUAUGCCGAGUAGAAGCAGACGUUGUUAAUGUGUGGAUUCAUUUUCUGGAAAAUACAUGGGUUCUCCAAACCACCUACCUCAAGCAGAAGGAGAAGCAGGUCAAGUAUGUACAUCCUUUCUUCUACCACCUAUUGAAUUGGUGCUACCACUUCUAUUGACUAUUGAUCCUAUCAUUACUCAAACCCGAGUGUGAUUGUCAGAUAAAGGGCAUUCUGACCAACACAGAUUUCUCCUUUUAAGAACAAGAAAUGGUUGCAAUAUCACCAUAUUUCAUAUCUAACUCUGGAUUGAUGCUACUGCUUCUAUUGACUAUUUAUAUAUGUUACUCCAACCUUUUUGUGUGUGUGUGUCGGAUAAGGGUAUGUAUUCGACAUAGAUAACUAAUAAGUUCAAUUUUUAAGCUUUUGCAUGUUUUUGGAAAGUACUUGGAGGGUUUUACCCCCGUACUCCGCACACAGAUUAUUCAAAAAAUAUAUCAAAGAGUCUGACAAACAUAGUUUAUCCUCU